This 391-nucleotide RNase P RNA is filed under the name Pedobacter yulinensis. RNAcentral describes it as "Bacterial RNase P class A". It matches the Rfam family "Bacterial RNase P class A". From Rfam's summary of the family: Ribonuclease P (RNase P) is a ubiquitous endoribonuclease, found in archaea, bacteria and eukarya as well as chloroplasts and mitochondria. Its best characterised activity is the generation of mature 5'-ends of tRNAs by cleaving the 5'-leader elements of precursor-tRNAs. Cellular RNase Ps are ribonucleoproteins. The record is from Rfam by way of RNAcentral. Lineage: Bacteria; Pseudomonadati; Bacteroidota; Sphingobacteriia; Sphingobacteriales; Sphingobacteriaceae.
AAUGCAGGUCGUUCUAUCGCUCCGGUUUAUGCCGGGGAGGAAAGUCCGGGCAACGCAGAGCAUCCCGCUUCCUAACGGGAAGGCGCCGGGGAUUGAAGACCUGGGCGACGGAAAGUGCCACAGAAAAUAUACCGUCCCGGCUUGCCGGGAUAAGGGUGAAAACGUGAGGUAAGAGCUCACGAUCUUUCCGGGCGACCGGAAAUUUGGUAAACCCCGGGAGUUGAAAGACCAAAUAGGUCCCGGUCAUGGUGCUGCUCGUACUCGAUCCUGCUCAGGCAGGAUUAGCCGGGAUGGGUAGGUCGUUAGAAACAAACGGCAACGUUUGUUCCAGAUUAAUGAUAGAAGCCCGGGAAACCGGGAACAGAACCCGGCUUACAGACCUGCAUUUUUU